Molecule: long non-coding RNA, 889 nt
Filed under: Capsella grandiflora
Lineage: Eukaryota; Viridiplantae; Streptophyta; Magnoliopsida; Brassicales; Brassicaceae
Description: long non-coding RNA (CGRA_LNC001372)
Source: RNAcentral
AUUAUGAGGAGCUGAACACAUGCUUCUAGCUGAAUUACCAGCGAGUUUAUACUCAUCUUGUGGAGAGACUUGUCUGUUCUCGCGAGUACAUGGGAUGGUGAGAGACUUACUUCAUCAAUUCUUGUUUUUUUUAAGAAGCUUGAGGACAAGCUUCUCCGAAAGGGGGAAGUAUUGAUACGGUUGGUGUAGUGGCCAAUGACGUGAACAUUGAGCUGGUGUUUUGAAUAGAAGCCUUUGUUGCAAUUAGAAGGUCUGCAGUUGCAAUAUGGGAGUAUAAAUAAGAGAGAUGAGUGUCGAGAGUGAGUACGCUUAGUUUGAUGAAUGUAUCUUGAGCGAUGUGCUUGAGCUCAAGUGAUCUAUGUUGAUCGCCAUUGUUGUUCUUCAAAUUGAGUGAUGAUUUGUGUUUGGUUUGUCAAUUACAAUAAUUCUCAAAUCAUUUUCUAAUUGAAUAUCAUUGUUGUUCUUGAGUUCGAGUUUAUAAGAAUCUAACAGGUACACAUAUGUUUCUGUGAAAACAAGAUUCGGAAGUUGCAGCUUGGUUUUUGAGGGUAAAGACGCACAAGUGUUAUAAUGUUUUAAGGAGAAGGCAUGGAAAAAUGAGACACGAGUUGGAGAUUUACCUUGUUGAGUUUUAUAAUUUAGAGCUGCAAGUUAUCAAUGAUAGGUCUCUGUUUAUAUGAAUGUGUCAAGUUGUUGAGCACUGCAAAUGUACUGUGGCUAGGAACAAUGUUGUUCUAGAAGGUAAAGAAAAAGAGUCCUAGCUCGUCAUAUAUUGCACACUUAAGGAAUCCAAUAUAGCUUUGAUUCAUAUCAGUGAGUGUACUUUGCCAUUCGUAGUUUCCAAAGAAAUCAACUCUCGGAUCUUGGUGAUGGUUUAAAAUUUUUACCU